This 73-nucleotide transfer RNA is filed under the name Neotoma lepida (desert woodrat). It matches the Rfam family "tRNA". From Rfam's summary of the family: Transfer RNA (tRNA) molecules are approximately 80 nucleotides in length. Lineage: Eukaryota; Metazoa; Chordata; Mammalia; Rodentia; Cricetidae. The record is from Rfam by way of RNAcentral.
GCCUGGCUAGCUCAGUUGGUAGACCAUGAGACUCUUAAUCUCAGGGUCCUGGGUUCGUGNCCCACGUUGGGCA